RNAcentral lists this ribosomal RNA (406 nucleotides) under uncultured bacterium. RNAcentral's name for it is "partial 16S ribosomal RNA". It matches the Rfam family "Bacterial small subunit ribosomal RNA", at positions 30 to 526 of the family's 1533-position model. The record is from RNAcentral.
AUUGAACGCUGGCGGCAGGCUUAACACAUGCAAGUCGAACGAGUGGCGGACGGGUGAGUAAUGCAUCGGAAUGUAGCUUAUGGAGGGGGAUAACUACGGGAAACUGUAGCUAAUACCGCGUACCAUAGGAUGAGCCCAAGUGGGAUUAGGUAGUUGGUGAGGUAAAGGCUCACCAAGCCGACGAUCUCUAGCUGGUCUGAGAGGAUGAUCAGCCACACUGGGACUGAGACACGGCCCAGACUCCUACGGGAGGCAGCAGUGGGGAAUAUUGGACAAUGGGCGAAAGCCUGAUGCAGCCAUGCCGCGUGUAUGAAGAAGGCCUUAGGGUUGUAAAGUACUUUCAGCGGGGAGGCGUUACCCGCAGAAUAAGCACCGGCUAACUCCGUGCCAGCAGCCGCGGUAAUAC